AUGGACGACGGGGAUUCAUGAGAAACAGACCUGUUUGUUUAUGCAGCACAUCACACUGGGGCAAACAAAAACACUUAAAAUACUGCAAAUUCCAGGACGUUACUGCGACCCCCCCAACAACGAGCCGUUCUCUCAGCCUGCCUGACACACGCCCCUGACGUUUAUCAGCAGAUGUUUGCUUUCAGGAGGGGAAUGUCUGGUUGCAACAUACAGCAAGUGUUUGGCAGAAAAUAAUCAGUGGUGAAAUUUUUUUAUUUUUUUUUAAAGAAAAAAAUAAGGUCUGACUUUGUGUUUGUUGUUUCUAAAAGGACACUGGAGUACAGUGGAAACACGGCAGCCCCGGAACAGGCGGGUUCUUCGCGGCGAGAACGGCAACGGACGCUUACGGAACGUAGCAGCAACGUUACCAUCUGUCCUCCUUCAGCGGCCAUCUCUGGGAGUUGGGGAGUCAAGAAUCUGGGACUUCCAGCAGGUAACAGCGUCCUUCUUCAGUGACCUACUUCUAGCGCCUGCCGCAGGACAGCAUGCAGGAACUCCGACGCAAGCGAGUGGCGGCAGCGACCGACCACAACAAGCAGCCGCUCCCGGUGCCGCUCGCUCCCGUUUACAAACAAGCCCCAGCUGGUCCGCAGAGCUGAGCUUCCAGCGUGCCGCAUUCGCCACUGAUUACAUAACAGCGAACAAACAUCGGACUCAAGAGGAUUGUGGGAUGCAGGGGCCCGGGUAGCUCUACGCUUUUUCUGCUUAACCCAGGGAGACUUUGUUUAUGAAAACAACACCAGAGCCAAGACUUUAG
This is a long non-coding RNA of Brienomyrus brachyistius, 796 nucleotides long. RefSeq lists it as uncharacterized. NCBI's taxonomy places the organism in Eukaryota, Metazoa, Chordata, Actinopteri, Osteoglossiformes, Mormyridae. The transcript has 4 exons. The record is from RefSeq and is a predicted model, not a curated record.